UGGAGGAAAGUAGGGGAUCGCAAGACCUUGCGCUUUUGGAGUGGCCGAUGCCUGAUUAGCUAGUUGGUAGGGUAAUGGCUUACCAAGGCGACGAUCAGUAGUUGGUCCGAGAGGACGACCAGCCACACUGGGACUGAGACACGGCCCAGACUCCUACGGGAGGCAGCAGUGGGGAAUUUUGGACAAUGGGCGAAAGCCUGAUCCAGCAAUGCCGCGUGAGUGAAGAAGGCCUUCGGGUUGUAAAGCUCUUUCAGUCGAGAAGAAAAGGUUGUGACUAAUAAUCACAACUCAUGACGGUAUCGACAGAAGAAGCACCGGCUAACUACGUGCCAGCAGCCGCGGUAAUACGUAGGGUGCGAGCGUUAAUCGGAAUUACUGGGCGUAAAGGGUGCGCAGGCGGCUUUGUAAGUCAGAUGUGA
Molecule: ribosomal RNA, 419 nt
Filed under: uncultured ammonia-oxidizing beta proteobacterium
Lineage: Bacteria; Pseudomonadati; Pseudomonadota; Betaproteobacteria
Description: bacterial SSU rRNA
Rfam family: Bacterial small subunit ribosomal RNA
Source: RNAcentral